This is a long non-coding RNA of Hydra vulgaris (swiftwater hydra), 311 nucleotides long. RefSeq lists it as uncharacterized. NCBI's taxonomy places the organism in Eukaryota, Metazoa, Cnidaria, Hydrozoa, Anthoathecata, Hydridae. The record is from RefSeq and is a predicted model, not a curated record.
UAGUUCUUCAUCAUUUUUACUCGCUUCAGUUGGCUUAAAUGUCAUAUUUUGCUUAUUCCUUUAUUUAAGAAAGAAUUACACUUUUAUUUAGUGCUACAAUUUAAUUUUAUUCUCCACCUCAUUCUUAUUUGUGCUGGUUUGAAAUUUAAGGAUGAAAAACUGAACAAGCUGGCGUUUAACGAUUGGAGAAUAAAAGAAAUGAAAUAGAUAUGAGCCUUAAUGUUUUGGCAUCUUCAGAUACCUAAAAAUGUUUUUGUUUUUUUUUUAACAUUUUUAUUACUAUUUAAAUAGACAAUCUUCACAAAUUUAAA